UUUGGUGAUUCUAGCGAGGCGGACCCACCCGUUCCCAUCCCGAACACGGCAGUGAAACACCUCAGCGCUGACGAUACUGCAUCCGCAAGGGUGUGGGAAAAUAAGUCAUUGCCAGGG
RNAcentral lists this ribosomal RNA (117 nucleotides) under Chloroflexota bacterium. The record is from RNAcentral. Lineage: Bacteria; Bacillati; Chloroflexota.